CGCGCUGCUUAGCUAGUUGGUAAGGUAACGGCUUACCAAGGCAACGAUGCAUAGCCGACCUGAGAGGGUGAUCGGCCACACUGGAACUGAGACACGGUCCAGACUCUACGGGAGGCAGCAGUAGGGAAUCUUCCGCAAUGGGCGAAAGCCUGACGGAGCAACGCCGCGUGAGUGAUGAAGGUCUUCGGAUCGUAAAACUCUGUUAUUAGGGAAGAACAUAUGUGUAAGUAACUGUGCACAUCUUGACGGUACCUAAUCAGAAAGCCAGGCUAACUCGUGC
This 280-nucleotide ribosomal RNA is filed under the name Staphylococcus aureus. Its description in RNAcentral is "partial 16S ribosomal RNA". It matches the Rfam family "Bacterial small subunit ribosomal RNA", at positions 232 to 508 of the family's 1533-position model. The record is from RNAcentral. Lineage: Bacteria; Bacillati; Bacillota; Bacilli; Caryophanales; Staphylococcaceae.